AUGGACGGGGCCACGCUGGUGGACUUCACGCCGCCCAAGCCAUCGCACGUCGUGAUGCAGCUCCACCCGGACAUGGAGGGCGACGUGUGGGAGGUAGUGCAGGUCCAGCUCAUGCGCUUUGCGUGCGGCUCGCUCGCCGUCGGGUUCACGGCCAACCACGCGAUCGCCGACGGCCACACCACCAGCUACUUCCUCAUUGCGUGGGGCCGUGCCGCGAGAGGGCUGGACAUCUCUGCUCCAUCACCGCCGCCCGACAAGGCCACAACCACCCGACCUCUUCCGGACGCGCAGCGUCGAGUACUACCGGUCGUCGUCCAGCAAUCUCAAGCACGUCGGGGCUGGCUGGGCACCACGGGGCCGACAACGUGA
Molecule: ribosomal RNA, 369 nt
Filed under: Triticum aestivum (bread wheat)
Lineage: Eukaryota; Viridiplantae; Streptophyta; Magnoliopsida; Poales; Poaceae
Description: partial small subunit ribosomal RNA
Source: RNAcentral